UAGAUUCCACAUAUAAGGUAUGUCAUACACUAUUUCUCCUUCUCUGUCUGACUUAUUUCACUUAGUAUGACAAUCUCUGGGUCCAUCCAUGUCACUACAAAUAAACAAUUUUUAUGAAUUUAUUCACAUGGAUUUUUCAUGGCCAAUUAUGAAAGUACAGUCAUAAAGCAGGGUUGGUAGGAAUUAUGAUGGGAUGAAAACUUGGAGGUUGGGGAACAGUUAAAGAUAGUCUUACCUUUUAAAGUGUAUGAAUUCUCUGUUCAUCCAUUUCAGUUCGGUUAUUAGAAUAUGGACAUGGAGGUAAGGAGUCUCGCGCCUGACCUGACCCUAAGGGGAUGUGUAGUAGCAAUAGCUUGUCGCAUUAACUCCUCCCACCUGGUAGAGAACAGGACUCUUCGCUGCUGAAUGUGGCCCUCUUAACUUCUCCAUGUGGUCUGCCAUCCAGUUUCAGCAGCAAGAAACUAAAAAUAUUUGUGGAUAAGAAGUCAUUUGUCUCUGGUUUCUGCCUCUCCCAAUGCCUGCACUGAGAAAGCAGCCUUCCAGCUGCCAUUCACAACAGGGCUGCCCCAUGCUGGUGGUAGACCGAGGGUGUGGCAACUGGGAUCCAACUGGGGAUGAAGGAGAAGAACCGCUCUCAGAAGAAGAAAUGAGGAAGCCUUCUACUCCUUGCCCAGGCCGAAGGCAAAUUCCUCUGCCUGUUCCAGAUGGAGGCAGAGAAGGGGAAAGAAAAAGUGAAGUCACUCAGUCAUGUGCGACUCUUUGUGACCCCGUGGACUGUAGCUUGCAGGCUCCUCUGUCCAUGGAACUUUCCGGGCAAGAAUACUGGCGUGGGUUGCCCUUUCCUUCUCCAGCAGAGAAGGGAACCAGUUGUGUAAAUAGGGUUUUCCUUACCCUUCCACGCCCCUAGUUUGUCUCUCAUCUGCUCAGCACCUCGAGGUCCUCCAAAGGAAGUCUCUGCCAUUUUUUUUUUCCUCCGAAUUUAGCAAUCUUGCAGAGGACAGUACUCUGUGUGUGUGGUCUCUUACUGAACUUGGGGCUAAUGCACUCUACUGCCCACUCCAAAUCCCAUGUCCUCUUCUCUGGUCAGGGGAUGAGUCUGAGAGACAGUUACUGUGGAGAAUACUGCCAGGUUAGCUUCUAAAAUUGUACAUCCCCAUAUUGAUGAUCCUUAAAUGUAAGAAAAUUAGAAAUAAAUGGUCAAGUGCAGUUAGCUUUGUGGGAUUUAGACAAUAUAAUUUACAUUAGUUUGCUUAAUUAUUAAUAGAAAUAUAGUUAUAUGUAUGCAUAUAUCCCAAAAGCAUUUUUAUUGUUCCCAUAUUAGCUCUCAUGUACAUUUAAAAGUUAAAUACUUUAAAAUACAGUGUGUGCAUAUGUGUAUAUGUCUGCUUGUGUACAUGGAUGCAUCCAUUAUGUUCUACUUAUGUGUGUGCACAGGUGUGUAUACACAUGUUUGCCAAAGGUGUUGCUGUUUCUCUGCUUUCUCCCCGCCCCGCAGUGCUGCUCCUUGUACAGAGAGCAGGCCAGGUGGUGCUGGGGAGCGAGCUGCACCUAGUUGAGCACUGAUCAUGUACCAUGAGGUCCCAUGGAAACGUCAAGUCCAGGCAUAUUAAAUGGCAGGCCUUCGCUUCAGCAGCUCAAGGAUGCAGCUGGGUUCUUGCUGAGCUCGUCCGAGUGCAGCAGGAGGACAGGAAGUGCUGGCUGUGGCAGGUGGAGAAGGGCUCACUGCUGCGAGAAGACUGCCUGGAUUUCCUGGGGAUCCGUGUCUCGCAGAGAUGAGAUCCAAGCGGAAACUGGAGAAGGAGAAAGGGACAGGCGUGUGGGCCUUGGACGAGCUGCCCUGGCAGUGGCCUGGUCUGUGGGGCGGGAAGGAACAGUCAAGGCCACAGAGCUGUCACCUUCUCUGCCAUGUGUCCUCCCAGGAGCAGGGAAAGCGAGCUAAGCCUUCCUGGAAGUGCAGCCAUGUGGCUGGUCACAGUCCACGCCGGGCCUGGAGCCUCGUCAGGCAGUCUGAGCAGCUGUGUGUGUGUCCCUUUGUCCAUGUCCCCACUGGGGGGAUCAAGGGAAUGUACCGACCCGAGCUUAGAUGAAUACAUUUCACAGUCGGGCCAGGGGCUUAUGUGAUGUGAGGGCCACACCGCCCCGCCGUGGGCCAUGCUGAAGGAUUUUCAAUUCCCGGGGAUGCAUUUUGCAGCUCAGUGUCAGCAGGAGCUCUGCCACAUUCUGCCUUUUGAAGCCCCCAGCUUGAGAGGAGCAGGCUCAAGAACAAGUUCUUCCUCACCCUCUGCCCAAACAUCAUUCUUAAUAAACCUCAAUCCAUAAGUAAAUGUGGUAGUCCAAGGCCUGGGACCACUAAUGCAUGAUCAUAGUCAAGGUGAAGAUUCUUUUUCUAGUUGUUUGUCUGAAUACAGCAACAACCUUUAUAUAUAGACUCUGUGCAAACAGUUAACUGUGGCUGAACUACUUGUCCUCCAGAUGGGGAGAGGAUUGACUGUGGUCUCUUGAGAGAGGACAGCAUGUUAGAGGGGACCAGACCCAAGGGGUUAGCAGAAUCAUUCUUAUAUUCAUUUUUUUCUAACUUUGAGGGGGAAUUCUGAGGAAGAAUGCAAAAUGGGAAAGUAAGAGAGUAGGAAAAGUAAGAAGGAAUGGUAACAAAUGGAGAGAAAGUGAACAAGAGGGAGUUUUAAGGAUAUCAGCCGUGGCACCCAGUGCACUGGAAGCUUUAAGCACAGUCUCAGCUUUAAGUUGUCAUAAAUAUUAAUAAAAGGGAAUUCAUUAGUACAUAUAUCUGAAAAGACCAGAUGUGCUGUUGAGCAUGGCUGGUCCAUGGGCCAAUAAUGUUCACAAAAUGGGCUCUCUCCCUCCUUCCACCUCAGGGCACUGCUCUCUGCCUGGUGACUCUCAGGGUUUCCCCUCCAGGAAACUAACUCCAUGGCAUUAACUCCCACAGGACUUCUAAAUUACCUUCCCAGCAACCUCAGUGGAAAAAGAGAGCCCUUCUUAUCAUCUCUUCCGUUGUUGGGUCUUAAGGGCCCUGAUUGGGUUACUUAUCCAUCCCAAACCACUCUCUGCCAUCUGUGGGGUAUGACACUCUGGUUGGCCAGGCUGGGUUAGAUGCAGCCAGGGUGGAGUCAGCUUUACAGAACUCAGUGAUGGAUAGUCUGAAGUGGGGUUCCUUGGGGACCAUCAAGUUGCUCUUACCAGAAAAAAAGGUGAAUGCAUGUGGGUCAGGUAAAAAACCCACCAAGGAAAAAUGUGUCAAAGCUAGAAGAGGUCUGAAAAGAGUUAUUAAUGCAAUGGUUAGGGAAGAUGGCUUCCCUUGAGGCUCAGACAGUAAAGCAUUUGCCUACAAUGCUGGACACUGGGGUUCGGUCCACGGGUUGGGAAGAUCCCCUGGAGAAGGAAAUAGCAACCUACUCCAGUACUCUUGCCUGGAAAAUCCCAUGGAUGGAGGAGUCCAUGGGGUCGCAAAGAAUCGGAUACAACUGAGCGACUUCACUCACUAGGGAAGAUGGAAAACUAAACAAAACCAAACUUGGCCAUUGUUGGGGGUGUGCAGAGGUUGAAUGAUGGAGCCGAUAUGGCAGAAGGGCUGUUGUCUCAAAUGGGAGGUUGAGCAGGAUGUUUUCCAGACAACGUUUUCAAUUCUGAGCAUUCCCCUUUCUCCCACCCCAAGGCUACAUAUCCAAGGUAUAUGGUUGUUUGAAUCCAUAGAUCUUAAUAAUUUCUAGAGCUAAUUUUCUAGAGGGUUCAGAGAGUUAGUGAGGAGUGCUUGUUAUCCAUUGGGGAUGAUCAUAUCUUGAGUUACCAGACACAGGUCAUUAAGUCAAUAAAAUAUGGUUUCUGCUUUCUUUCUGAGGUAUAGGUAAUUUUACAGCAGCAGUUGUUUUUUUUUUUAAACACUCAUAUUUUUGAUGAAAAGGAAAUAAUUUUUUUCCCCUCUAUGACUGAGUUACUCAAGCUGUGCUCCCUGGAGAACCAUGGGGUGACUUUGUGUUCCACAAAGAAAAAAAAGAGAUAAAUAUGUUUUGAUACGUUUGCAAAAUGUUGCAUCUCUUUUCUCCUAGGAAAGAUUGACAUAUGCAGUGUUGAUUAUUGUAUUAAAGACCUGGGGAAGUUUGGCAAGAAGAAAACCUUCAGGUUUUAUACAACUAGUUGCUCUAGCUAGCUUAUGUGGCCAUAAGAUAUUCUUUUCAUAGCACGAGGGUAGUGUUGAAUAUGGAUCAUAAAACAGUGCCUAAGGAAUCAGCUGUAUUUUCUUUGAUUUGAACAUACAAAGCCAUCUGGAAAGGUUUUCACCACUCAGGCUCACCUUGUAUGUUGGAAGGGACCACUUUGCACUAAGAAUCUCUGGGUGGUGUUUUCCUACCUCUAAGCCAAGCCUCUCCAUCUCACCAUAACCAGUUUCUUGAGAGAAUGUGUGACAUAAGUACUGGCUUAUCAGUGCUUUUGUCUCUUCAGGAUUCAUCAUUAGCAAAUAGUCACGACCAUACCUGUGUGUUGGCUCUGAGAAGACUGACUGAGAUUAUCUCUGCCAAUAUCACUUUCUGCUGGUGGUACCCAAGAUGAUUUGGGGAGGCAGGCUCUUUACCCUUCAGGGAGGCAUCUGCAAAUCCCAGCUCUUGGUGGACAUUUUGUAGAAGAACCAGCUUUGAUCCUGUUGCCAGUGGACUUGCCCGACAUCUGCAGAAGUGGCCAAGUCCAGGAAGGGAGCAUUACACAGCCCAGUCCCAUGACAAAUGCUGCAUUGCCAGAAACCA
Long non-coding RNA from Bubalus bubalis (water buffalo), 4757 nucleotides. RefSeq lists it as uncharacterized. The transcript is spliced from 2 exons. The record is from RefSeq and is a predicted model, not a curated record. NCBI's taxonomy places the organism in Eukaryota, Metazoa, Chordata, Mammalia, Artiodactyla, Bovidae.